GUUAUUGUUUGUGUGCUUUCCCCUCU
Molecule: non-coding RNA, 26 nt
Filed under: Mus musculus (house mouse)
Lineage: Eukaryota; Metazoa; Chordata; Mammalia; Rodentia; Muridae
Source: RNAcentral